GCGCAAAACCUUAUCCCUGAUUUGAUGUACGGUUAACCCUAUGAAAGCAGGGCCCGCUCGCAAGAGUGGAACGUGCACAGGUGCUGCAUGGCUGUCGUCAGCUCGUGUCGUGAGAUGUCGCGUUAAGUCGCUAAACGAGCGAAACCCCUAUCUUUAGUUGCCAGCGCGUCAUGGCGGGGACUCUAAAGAGACUGCCGGUGUCAAACCGGAGGAAGGCGGGGAUGACGUCAAGUCCUCAUGGCCUUUAUGCCCAGGGCUGCACACGUGCUACAAUGGGGCGUACAAAGCGCCGCGAAGUUGCGAAACCAAGCUAAUCGCAAAAAGCGUCCCCCAGUACGAAUUGCAGGCCGCAACUCGCCUGCAUGAAGCCGGAAUCGCUAGUAAUCGCCGAUCAGCAUUGCGGCGGUGAAUGUGUUCCCGAGCCUUGUACACACCGCCCGUCAAGCCACGAAAGCGCGG
RNAcentral lists this ribosomal RNA (459 nucleotides) under uncultured Planctomycetota bacterium. RNAcentral describes it as "bacterial SSU rRNA". It matches the Rfam family "Bacterial small subunit ribosomal RNA", at positions 961 to 1415 of the family's 1533-position model. Lineage: Bacteria; Pseudomonadati; Planctomycetota. The record is from RNAcentral.